Molecule: ribosomal RNA, 468 nt
Filed under: uncultured bacterium
Lineage: Bacteria
Description: partial 16S ribosomal RNA
Rfam family: Bacterial small subunit ribosomal RNA
Source: RNAcentral
GACGAACGCUGGCGGCGUGCUUAACACAUGCAAGUCGAACGGAAAGGCCCUGCUUUUGUGGGGUGCUCGAGUGGCGAACGGGUGAGUAACACGUGAGUAACCUGCCCUUGACUUUGGGAUAACUUCAGGAAACUGGGGCUAAUACCGGAUAGGAGCUCCUGCUGCAUGGUGGGGGUUGGAAAGUUUCGGCGGUUGGGGAUGGACUCGCGGCUUAUCAGCUUGUUGGUGGGGUAGUGGCUUACCAAGGCUUUGACGGGUAGCCGGCCGGAGAGGGUGACCGGCACCAUUGGGACUGAUAUCCGGCCCAGACCCCUACGGGGGGCAGCAGUGGGAAAUAUUGCAAAGGGGGCGGAGCCUUGAGGCAGCCCCGCCGCGUGCGGGAGGCGGGCUUUGGGUUUGUAACCCGCUUCCGCCUGGGAGGAAGGGUGAGUGAGGGUAGGGGGUAAAGAGGCCCCGGCUAACUACGGC